This 262-nucleotide ribosomal RNA is filed under the name uncultured Peptoniphilus sp. RNAcentral's name for it is "partial 16S ribosomal RNA". It matches the Rfam family "Bacterial small subunit ribosomal RNA", at positions 96 to 355 of the family's 1533-position model. The record is from RNAcentral. Lineage: Bacteria; Bacillati; Bacillota; Tissierellia; Tissierellales; Peptoniphilaceae.
CGGCGGACGGGUGAGUAACACGUGAGUAACCUGCCUUUUACACAGGGAUAGCCUCGGGAAACCGGGAUUAAAACCUGAUGAAACUAUCAAAUCACAUGAUUAAGAAAGUUAAAACUCCGGUGGUAAAAGAUGGACUCGCGUCCCAUUAGCUAGUUGGUGAAGGUAACGGCCCACCAAGGCAACGAUGGGUAGCCGGCCUGAGAGGGUGAACGGCCACAUUGGAACUGAGAAACGGUCCAAACUCCUACGGGAGGCAGCAGUU